Molecule: ribosomal RNA, 603 nt
Filed under: uncultured fungus
Lineage: Eukaryota; Fungi
Description: eukaryotic LSU rRNA
Rfam family: Eukaryotic large subunit ribosomal RNA
Source: RNAcentral
ACCCGCUGAACUUAAGCAUAUCAAUAAGCGGAGGAAAAGAAACCAACAGGGAUUGCCCUAGUAACGGCGAGUGAAGCGGCAACAGCUCAAAUUUGAAAUCUGGCGUCUUUGGCGUCCGAGUUGUAAUUUGCAGAGGGCGCUUUGGCAUUGGCAGCGGUCCAAGUUCCUUGGAACAGGACGUCACAGAGGGUGAGAAUCCCGUACGUGGUCGCUAGCCUUUACCGUGUAAAGCCCCUUCGACGAGUCGAGUUGUUUGGGAAUGCAGCUCUAAAUGGGAGGUAAAUUUCUUCUAAAGCUAAAUACUGGCCAGAGACCGAUAGCGCACAAGUAGAGUGAUCGAAAGAUGAAAAGCACUUUGGAAAGAGAGUCAAACAGUACGUGAAAUUGUUGAAAGGGAAGCGCUUGCAGCCAGACUUGCCUGUAGUUGCUCAUCCGGGUUUUUACCCGGUGCACUCUUCUAUAGGCAGGCCAGCAUCAGUUUGGGCGGUUGGAUAAAGGUCUCUGUCAUGUACCUCUCUUCGGGGAGAACUUAUAGGGGAGACGACAUGCAACCAGCCCGGACUGAGGUCCGCGCAUCUGCUAGGAUGCUGGCGUAAUGGCUGU